GAUGAACGCUGGCGGCGUGCCUAAUACAUGCAAGUCGAGCGAACGGACGAGAAGCUUGCUUUUCUGAUGUUAGCGGCGGACGGGUGAGUAACACGUGGAUAGCCUACCUAUAAGACUGGGAUAACUUCGGGAAACCGGAGCUAAUACCGGAUAAUAUUUUGAACCGCAUGGUUCAAAAGUGAAAGACGGUCUUGCUGUCACUUAUAGAUGGAUCCGCGCUGCAUUAGCUAGUUGGUAAGGUAACGGCUUACCAAGGCAACGAUGCAUAGCCGACCUGAGAGGGUGAUCGGCCACACUGGAACUGCGACACGGUCCAGACUCCUACGGGAGGCAGCAGUAGGGAAUCUUCCGCAAAGGGCGAAAGCCUGACGGAGCAACGCCGCGUGAGUGAUGAAGGUCUUCGGAUCGUAAAACUCUGUUAUUAGGGAAGAACAUAUGUGUAAGUAACUGUGCACAUCUUGACGGUACCUAAUCAGAAAGCCACGGCUAACUACGUG
This 497-nucleotide ribosomal RNA is filed under the name uncultured bacterium. RNAcentral describes it as "partial 16S ribosomal RNA". It matches the Rfam family "Bacterial small subunit ribosomal RNA", at positions 28 to 507 of the family's 1533-position model. The record is from RNAcentral.